UCAUAUAUAUGUUAACCAUAUUAGGUAAUUAUGUAGUUUUUAUUUAACUAAUUAAUUUGAUAGUUAGUUUAAUAAAAAACAUAGUAUAUGUUUAUAUGGAUCAACUUAUUUUUGUAAUAAUUCUAAGAAUCAUUUUCGUGAUGACACGUGGCUACGAAAAUAUGUUGUAAUGCUCCAGGAUUAAUAUAUAGGGGAUGUUUAAGACACCGUAUUUUAUCACACGAAAUUGUUAUGUAGAAAGGCUACACCGCAUAUUUUUUUUUUCUCUAAUUGUGUUUUCAAGUUUUAUGGUUUUAUUAAGGGUUUUUUAAUUUUUUUCCGAAUUUUACUAUUUCGAAAUUCAAACCCUAAACUCUAAAACUCAACUCUAAACCCCAAACCAUCAAUCCUAAACCCUAUUUCUUUUUUGAAAUACGAACCCUAAACCCUAAACUAUCAAUCCUAAACCCUAUUUUUUUUUGAAAUACGAACCCUAAACCCUGAAACAUCAACUCUAAACCCUAAACCCCGAAACAUAAACUCUAAACCCUAAACCUUCAACUCUAAACCCUAAAACAUCAACUCUAAACCCUAAACCCUAAACUUCAACUCUAAACCCUAAACCAUCAACACUAAACCCUAACUCUCAACACUAAACCCUAAACCCUAAAAAGUAAACUCUAAACCCUAAAAAAUUAACCCUAAACCCUAAAACAUCAACUAUAAACCCUAAACCCCAAACCUUCAACUCUAAACCCUAAACUCUAAACCCUAAACCCUAAACCCUAAACCCUAAAACCCUAGAGUUGGUGUUUUAGGGCUUAGAUUUGAAUGUUUAGGGUUUUAGGGUUUAGGGUUUAUGUUUAGGGUUUAGAGUUGAUGUUUUAGGGUUUAGAUUUGAAGGUUUAGGGUUUUAGGGUUUUAGGGUUUAUGGUUCGAAUUUCAGAAAAAUAUAGGGUUUAGGGUUAAGGGUUUACGUUUAGGGUUUAGAGUUGAUGUUUUAGGGUUUAGAUCUGAAGGUUUAGAGCUUAGGGUUUAGAGUUGGUGUUUCGGGGUUUAGGGUUUAGAGUUGGUGUUUCGGGGUUUAGGGUUUAGAGUUGGUGUUCCAUGGUUUAGGGUUUAGAGUUGAUGAUUUAGGGUUUAAAGUUGAUGUUUUAAGUUUAGAUUUAUGGUUUAGGGUUUACGUUUAGGGUUUAGAGUUGAUGUUUUAGGGUUUAGAUUUGAAAGUUUAGGGUUUAGGGUUUAAAGUUUAGAGUUGAUGUUUAGGGGUUUAUGGUUUAGAGUUGAUGUUUCAUAGUUUAGGGUUUAGAGUUGAUGAUUUAGGAUUUAGAGUUUAGAGUUGAUGUUUUAAGUUUAGAUUAGUUAACCUUAUGUUUUUUUUGUCAAAGUUAAUCAAAUGGUUAUAAUUGUCUUUUACCAUUCAUUAAAGAUGGUGGUAAAAGUGGUUAGUGUAAACAUGAAAAGUGAUACUUUGA
RNAcentral lists this long non-coding RNA (1454 nucleotides) under Brassica napus (rape). RNAcentral's name for it is "long non-coding RNA (BNAP_LNC017347)". Lineage: Eukaryota; Viridiplantae; Streptophyta; Magnoliopsida; Brassicales; Brassicaceae. The record is from RNAcentral.